UUAGUGUUUAGGCUGUUUGUUGUGCCUUAGGACUGAAAGAUUUAGAAUUUUCUCAAGAAAAACUAAGAGUUCUAUUUGAGCAGAGAAGCUAGGAGUUUCCUAGCUCUGGUUUGGGGUUCUACAUCUCACUAGCUACAAUUUUCAGAAGAUCUUGGAGGCAUAAAAAUACUUAACCCUUAGAAGUUUCCAUCACUGUAUGUAUAUACUCAGAAAUUUGAAUGCUAAAGUAAGAUGAUCUGACCGACUGAUUCCCCUAGUAGCCAAAAUAUAAUUGCUUAAAGAUUACAGUUUGGUUGAAUUUCUGUAGUAGACUGAUGAGCAAAAUAUAAGCCUUCUUUUGGUAUGUGAAUUGAAUGGGCUCUCAAGGUCAAAGGGGCAGAGCUCAAUUCCAAUUUUGUGCAUAAGAAGGUUCCUGUCCUCCUCCACCAUGACAAACCCAUUGUUGAAUCAUUUGCAAUCCUAGAAAAUAUGGAUGAUGAGUUAUGGAAAAAGAACUACCCAUUGUUGGCUCAAGACCCAUGUGACAGAGCCUUGGCUUGCUUCUGGAUACAUCAAAAUAUAUAUAGAUCAAGUCUUGCUGAUGAUUGUAAUUGUAAAGCCUCUAAUUUGCUUAAAUUUAGUGUUUGAUCAUUGGAGUAGACAGAGCUUGCACCCAAUGCAAAGCAAUGAGUUGGAUGCUCACUCUUCAGGUUCUAGUUCAUUGGUCUUUUUUAUUGCUUGUGACCUAUUCAAAAUGAAGACAGCUAAGUGAAUUGUCAUUUUUACUUUCUACCAGGAUAAGCAAUCUUUCUUCAAAGUACAAUAUAAUCCUGUUCACAAGAAGGUACGAGUGCUUCUGCACAAUGGAAAACCAGUCUCUGAAUUUUUAGUCAUCCUUGAGUACAUAGAACACACAUUGAAACACAACUCUUUAUUACCUGCUGAUCCUGUAAACAGGGCCAUUGUGCGUUUCUGGCCAAAAUAUAUUGAUUAUGAGGACUAAUACUUGAUUGAUUACUAUUAUGGUUUAGUAUGCAGUAAGUUUCCUUCACCAUAUGAAUGGUUUCAGAAAUUUGCAGAAACCCCCAUACUCAAAGAAAAAUUGCCAGAGAAAGAUGACCUGAUCAAACACUUCCGAGCUAGCCCACAAAGAUUACAAUUCUGUUGAAUUUCAGAACCAGAUAGAGGCAAAAGCCUUAUAAUAAAGUUUCUAUUGAAUCCUUAGAGAAGUUUUCCUUUAAAAUAUUGUCAGCUGGCAGUGAAUUGUUGUCUUUUUCAAAAUUUUAUACUAUAGGAGAAUCUACAAGUGAAUUUGUUGCUUCAA
Molecule: long non-coding RNA, 1303 nt
Organism: Mangifera indica (mango)
Lineage: Eukaryota; Viridiplantae; Streptophyta; Magnoliopsida; Sapindales; Anacardiaceae
Exons: 2
Source: RefSeq, a predicted model, not a curated record